This is a non-coding RNA of Peniophora sp. CONT, 72 nucleotides long. NCBI's taxonomy places the organism in Eukaryota, Fungi, Basidiomycota, Agaricomycetes, Russulales, Peniophoraceae. The record is from Rfam.
GCCGCCUUGGCGUAGUGGUAGCGCGUCCCACUUGUAAUGGGAAGGUCACUAGUUCAAUCCUGGUAGGUGGCA